Molecule: ribosomal RNA, 305 nt
Filed under: uncultured bacterium
Lineage: Bacteria
Description: partial 16S ribosomal RNA
Rfam family: Bacterial small subunit ribosomal RNA
Source: RNAcentral
ACAGCAGUCGCCACGGUAACACGUAGGGUGCAAGCGUUAAUCGGAAUUACUGGGCGUAAAGCGUGCGCAGGCGGUUCGUUAAGACAGAUGUGAAAUCCCCAGGCUUAACCUGGGAACUGCAUUUGUGACUGGCGGGCUAGAGUAUGGCAGAGGGGGGUAGAAUUCCACGUGUAGCAGUGAAAUGCGUAGAGAUGUGGAGGAAUACCGAUGGCGAAGGCAGCCCCCUGGGCCAAUACUGACGCUCAUGCACGAAAGCGUGGGGAGCAAACAGGAUUAGAUACCCCGGUAGUCCCUGUCUCUUAUAC